UACGUAGGGGGCGAGCGUUGUCCGGAAUCAUUGGGCGUAAAGCGCGUGUAGGCGGCCCGGUAAGUCCGCUGUGAAAGUCCAGGGCUCAACCCUGGGAUGCCGGUGGAUACUGUCGGGCUCGAGUCCGGAAGAGGCGAGUGGAAUUCCUGGUGUAGCGGUGAAAUGCGCAGAUAUCAGGAGGAACACCAAUGGCGAAGGCGGCAUUCUGGACCGACAUUGACGCUGAGGAGCGAAAGCCAGGGGAGCAAACGGG
RNAcentral lists this ribosomal RNA (253 nucleotides) under uncultured bacterium. Its description in RNAcentral is "partial 16S ribosomal RNA". It matches the Rfam family "Bacterial small subunit ribosomal RNA", at positions 524 to 776 of the family's 1533-position model. The record is from RNAcentral.